This 394-nucleotide ribosomal RNA is filed under the name uncultured bacterium. RNAcentral's name for it is "bacterial SSU rRNA". It matches the Rfam family "Bacterial small subunit ribosomal RNA", at positions 957 to 1354 of the family's 1533-position model. The record is from RNAcentral.
UAACGCGAAGAACCUUACCAAGGCUUGACAUACACCGGAAACGGCCAGAGAUGGUCGCCCCCUUGUGGUCGGUGUACAGGUGGUGCAUGGUUGUCGUCAGCUCGUGUCGUGAGAUGUUGGGUUAAGUCCCGCAACGAGCGCAACCCUUAUGAUCAGUUGCCAGCAUUCAGUUGGGCACUCUGGUCAGACUGCCGGUGACAAACCGGAGGAAGGCGGGGAUGACGUCAAAUCAUCAUGCCCCUUAUGUCUUGGGCUUCACGCAUGCUACAAUGGCCGGUACAAAGGGCUGCGAUACCGUAAGGUGGAGCGAAUCCCAAAAAGCCGGUCUCAGUUCGGAUUGAGGUCUGCAACUCGACCUCAUGAAGUCGGAGUCGCUAGUAAUCGCAGAUCAGCA